AACGCUAGCUACAGGCUUAACACAUGCAAGUCGAGGGGCAGCAUUUUUAUAGCAAUAUAAAAGAUGGCGACCGGCGCACGGGUGAGUAACACGUAUCCAACCUGCCGAUAACUCGGGGAUAACCCUUCGAAAGAAGGCCUAAUACCCGAUGGCAUAUCCCUUCCGCCUGGUUGGGAUAUUAAGGAACUUCGGUUAUCGAUGGGGAUGCGUUCCAUUAGCUUGUUGGCGGGGUAACGGCCCACCAAGGCUUCGAUGGAUAGGGGUUCUGAGAGGAAGGUCCCCCACAUUGGAACUGAGACACGGUCCAAACUCCUACGGGAGGCAGCAGUGAGGAAUAUUGGUCAAUGGACGAGAGUCUGAACCAGCCAAGUAGCGUGAAGGAUGAAGGUCCUAUGGAUUGUAAACUUCUUUUAUACGGGAAUAAGGUGCAGUAUGCAUACUGUUUUGUAUGUACCGUAUGAAUAAGGAUCGGCUAACUCCGUGCCAGCAGCCGCGGUAAUACGGAGGAUCCGAGCGUUAUCCGGAUUUAUUGGGUUUAAAGGGAGCGUAGGCGGAUGCUUAAGUCAGUUGUGAAAGUUUGCGGCUCAACCGUAAAAUUGCAGUUGAUACUGGGCGUCUUGAGUACAGUAGAGGCAGGCGGAAUUCGUGGUGUAGCGGUGAAAUGCUUAGAUAUCACGAAGAACUCCGAUUG
This 691-nucleotide ribosomal RNA is filed under the name uncultured bacterium. RNAcentral's name for it is "bacterial SSU rRNA". It matches the Rfam family "Bacterial small subunit ribosomal RNA", at positions 32 to 715 of the family's 1533-position model. The record is from RNAcentral.